Molecule: ribosomal RNA, 540 nt
Filed under: Graptomyza plumifer
Lineage: Eukaryota; Metazoa; Arthropoda; Insecta; Diptera; Syrphidae
Description: partial 16S ribosomal RNA
Source: RNAcentral
UCUGAACUCAGAUCACGUAAGAAAAAAAAGUCGAACAGACUUAAACUUUAAACUGCUGCACCUAAAGCUAUAUCUUAAUCCAACAUCGAGGUCGCAAUCUUUUUUAUCAAUAUGAACUCUCCAAAAAAAUUACGCUGUUAUCCCUAAAGUAACUUAAUUUUAUAAUCACUAAUAAUGGAUCAAAUAUUCAUAAAUUAAUGAUUUUAACAAUAAAAGUUUAUUAAAUUUUACUAUCACCCCAAUAAAAUAUAUGUUUUUAUUUUAAUUAAAUUUAUCAUAAAAAUAAAAAAUAUUACAUAUAUAAAGAUUUAUAGGGUCUUCUCGUCUUUUAAAUAUAUUUUAGCUUUUUAACUAAAAAAUAAAAUUCUAUUUUAAUUUAUAAUGAAACAGUUAAUAUUUCGUCCAACCAUUCAUUCCAGCCUCCAAUUAAAAGACUAAUGAUUAUGCUACCUUUGCACAGUUAGAAUACUGCGGCCAUUUAAAAUUCAGUGGGCAGGUCAGACUUUAAAUUAAUUUCUAAAAGACAUGUUUUUGUUAAAC